UGGGGAAUAUUGCACAAUGGGCGCAAGCCUGAUGCAGCCAUGCCGCGUGUGUGAAGAAGGCCUUCGGGUUGUAAAGCACUUUCAGCGAGGAGGAAGGUGGUGAACUUAAUACGUUCAUCAAUUGACGUUACUCGCAGAAGAAGCACCGGCUAACUCCGUGCCAGCAGCCGCGGUAAUACGGAGGGUGCAAGCGUUAAUCGGAAUUACUGGGCGUAAAGCGCACGCAGGCGGUUUGUUAAGUCAGAUGUGAAAUCCCCCGGGCUCAACCUGGGAACUGCAUUUGAAACUGGCAAGCUAGAGUCUCGUAGAGGGGGGUAGAAUUCCAGGUGUAGCGGUGAAAUGCGUAGAGAUCUGGAGGAAUACCGGUGGCGAAGGCGGCCCCCCUGGACGAAGACUGACGCUCAGGUGCGAAAGCGUGGGGAGCAAACAGGAUUAGAUA
Molecule: ribosomal RNA, 439 nt
Filed under: uncultured bacterium
Lineage: Bacteria
Description: partial 16S ribosomal RNA
Rfam family: Bacterial small subunit ribosomal RNA
Source: RNAcentral